UGGCUUGCAGGCUGCAGAGGUUAGUUUCAUGAUAUAACUUACUGCAAAAAUUGCUUCAACAGCUCCAUCUUUUGAGAAAGGGCACGGACUUUGGAUUCAGGAAACCAGAUUAAAGCUCUUAGCCUAUCCAUGUUCCCCUAUCAUCUUACACUACUCCUUUUACGAAUGCAAUGUUUUUGUUUCUUUACCUGACAAUUUUCUUUCCUGAUAACAGUAAGUGAAGAUGAAACAGCACAGCUACGACAACAGAACCAAACAAGCAAAGAAUGUGGUAGUGUCCAAGUAAAUGGACAGGCAAGUCUGGAUUUGGCCCACUGGAAAUAAUUUUAUGAAGCUUCAUAAGCCAGCAUGGUACAAAUUCUCCAAGGAUUUUUCCUGCUAUCCCCAAGAAAGUAGUGAGAAGUAAUUCUGUUACCUGAGAGAAGAGAAAAAGAAGCUUUAGUACUAAUUCAAGCUGCUGCACUUACUUUAGUUGAGGCAAACUGCUCUACUGAAUUUCCUGGAAAGAGUUCGUUUUACUGUUUCCAAAGGAGACCUGAACCAUGCAGAAUCGUCUGUAGAACAGAAAAUGGUAAGCACUGUGCUUGUUUUGAUUCAAUCCAAAGUUAUGAAAUUAUGAACUCCAUUACAAAAAAAGAUAGAAAAAUCAUGUCAUAUGUACUAAAACAGAAAGACUCCUCUGAAACAGAAGGAAUACAGAAGAAACAAAAUAUGUGACAG
This 720-nucleotide long non-coding RNA is filed under the name Anas platyrhynchos platyrhynchos (common mallard). Its description in RNAcentral is "lncRNA (ENSAPLG00000021855.1)". The record is from RNAcentral. Lineage: Eukaryota; Metazoa; Chordata; Aves; Anseriformes; Anatidae.